This 497-nucleotide ribosomal RNA is filed under the name uncultured bacterium. RNAcentral's name for it is "partial 16S ribosomal RNA". It matches the Rfam family "Bacterial small subunit ribosomal RNA", at positions 28 to 507 of the family's 1533-position model. The record is from RNAcentral.
GAUGAACGCUGGCGGCGUGCCUAAUACAUGCAAGUCGAGCGAAUAGAGGAGGAGUUUGCUUCUCUGACGUUAGCGGCGGACGAGUGAGUAACACGUGUAUAACCUACCUAUAAGACUGGGAUAACUUCGGGAAACCGGAGAUAAUACCGGAUAAGAUAUUGAACCGCAGGGUUCUAUAGUGAAAGACGGUUUUGAUGUCCCUUAUAGAUAGAUCCUCGCCGCAUUAGCUAGUUGGUAAGGUAACGGCUUACCAAGGCAACGAUGCGUAGCCGACCUGAGAGGGUGAUCAGCCACACUGGAACUGAGACACGGUCCAGACUCCUACGGGAGGCAGCAGUAGGGAAUCUUCCGCAAUGGGCGAAAGCCUGACGGAGCAACGCCGCGUGAGUGAUGAAGGUCUUCGGAUCGUAAAACUCUGUUAUUAGGGAAGAACAAAAGUAUAAGUAAAUAUGCACGUCUUGACGGUACCUAAUCAAAAAGCCCCGGCUAACUACGUG